Molecule: ribosomal RNA, 253 nt
Filed under: uncultured bacterium
Lineage: Bacteria
Description: partial 16S ribosomal RNA
Rfam family: Bacterial small subunit ribosomal RNA
Source: RNAcentral
UACGAAGGGGGCUAGCGUUGCUCGGAAUCACUGGGCGUAAAGCGCACGUAGGCGGCUUUCUAAGUCAGGGGUGAAAUCCUGGAGCUCAACUCCAGAACUGCCUUUGAUACUGGAGAGCUUGAGUCCGGAAGAGGUGAGUGGAACUCCGAGUGUAGAGGUGAAAUUCGUAGAUAUUCGGAAGAACACCAGUGGCGAAGGCGGCUCACUGGUCCGGUACUGACGCUGAUGUGCGAAAGCGUAGGGAGCAAACAGG